This 690-nucleotide ribosomal RNA is filed under the name Triticum aestivum (bread wheat). RNAcentral's name for it is "partial small subunit ribosomal RNA". Lineage: Eukaryota; Viridiplantae; Streptophyta; Magnoliopsida; Poales; Poaceae. The record is from RNAcentral.
AUGGGGAACGUGUUCGUGAAGAAGCCUAAGAUCACGGAGGUUGACAAGGCCAUCCUCGCCCUCAAGACGCAGCGCCGCAAGCUCGCGCAGUUCCAGCAGCAGCUUGAGAAGGUGAUCGAAGCAGAAAAGGAAGCUGCACGCCAGUUGGUUCAACAAAAGAAGAGAGACAGAGCUUUGAUUGCACUGAAGAAGAAGAAAUCCCAGGAAGAGCUCCUGAAACAAGUUGAUACAUGGCAAAUGAAUGUCGAACAGCAGCUGGCAGAUAUUGAACUAGCAAGCAAGCAAAAGGCUGUAUUGGAAAGCCUAAAGACUGGAAAUGCUGCCCUUAAGUCUAUACAGAGUGAGAUUAACAUCGACGAUGUCCAAAAGUUAAUGGAUGACACAGCUGAGGCCAAGGCUUAUCAGGAUGAAAUAAAUGCCGCUCUGGGUGAACAACUAUCUGCUGAGGAUGAGGAGGCUGUCAUGGCUGAAUUCGACAACUUGGAAGCUGAGCUUGCACUUGAGUCUCUGCCUGAUGCUCCCGUUACUGAAGUACAACCUGAAAAGAAAACUAAGGCGCCGGCUUACACUGAAGCUCCAGCUGAAGACAUUGAUGAUGUUAUUGAGCUUCCUGAUGUACCUACUAAAGCGCCAGAGAGGCCUGAAGCUCCAGAAAAAACAAAAGUCUUGGAAGAGCCACUACCUGCAUAG